UACACACUGAACUUUGUUAAAAUGUGCAAAAUACUAUGUAUUUAUAAGUCAAUUUAAUUAACUUGUUUUUUCUUUUCUGAAAACACGUUUUCAUGUACUUGCCGCAAUUAUAUAUUGCUUGCUAUAAACUUUGUAAAAGAGUUUUAUGCAAUAAAUUUAUGUUAUGCUAUAUUUAGAGGUAAUUUUCACGGUGUUUGACCACUAAUAACUGCCUCCAGGCGGAUUAAAUUUAUACUGGCCAGUUGUCAAUUACAGUGUUAUGACACCUUCACUCAGGAAGCCAGAGGGGGUAAACAAUUAAUCUUUUAAUUGAUCAAAACUAUUGCCGAUAAUUAUUUGUUGGAAGGGGCACGUAGAUAUACCAAUCAAAGGAUUAGUGUCACCGUUGCAAUGGGGAUAAUCAUUCGUUAUAAGCGUUCUAGACUAGUUUAUAAAAACUUGACAAUAAAAUUAUAUAAAAAUGAAAAAUUUCUUGCUUCAAAGUAGAUUAUUUUCGUUUUUUUACCGGGACAUAAAUCAUCUCCGGGACAGACACCUUAUUUCCGGGACAGUCCCGGACAUCCAGGACGUAAUGGCAUGUAUGGUUAUGAUAAUUUUUUUAUUAUUUUAAUUUUUGAACCAACAGGUGAAAUUUGAGGAGCACUUUGUAAGAGAGAUAAUAGGAGCAAGUGUAUACCAGCAAUGCUGUACUGAUGUUCUAGAUGAUAUUUCUACAAAUUUAGAGGUGAUCCAUUGACAGAUAGUUAUAUAUAUCAGAACAAGUGUGAUUCAUUGACAGAUAGUUAUAUAUAUCAGAACAAGUGUGAUCCAUUGACAGAUAGUUGUAUAUAUCAGAACAAGUGUGAUCCAUUGACAGAUAGUUGUAUAUAUCAGAACAAGAGUGAUCCAUUGACAGAUAGCUGUAUAUAUCAGACCAAGAGGAGGCAGAAAGACUUAUGGAGAAACUGUCAAGUUAACCUAGAGGGGAAAAGAGGCACAGUACAGAGGCUGCUCAAAUUUUCCAGGACACUGCUGGGUGGAAAUCAUAAGGAACUUGGAUGAAAUAUUACGUAGCCGAAGGUCUCCGUAUAUACUCACAGGACACAUGGAAACAAGUGAUGGGAGAGCAGGGGAAACAACUGGUACAUCGGACAAGUGGUUGACUAAUACAUGUAUAUAGAAGGGAUAUGGGCAGACAACCAUGCUGUGAGAGAAGCUGCCUGUGCAUGUAUUGCAGAACUUGGAGGUGAACAAAGAUGUUGUGGACAUGUAUAUUACAAGGUUGUUAGAGGCUCUUCUAAUCAGUUAAAGUGAUGGCAGCUGGACAGUAAGAGAUGGUCAUCUAUACCAGCAUUGUAUCCACUGUUUUUCAACAAUCUACAAGAUAAUAUACCAUCAGCGCAGCAGGGGCGGCCCUUGCUCUCCCAAGUGUAUAUGGUAUAUACAGUUUUU
Molecule: long non-coding RNA, 1431 nt
Organism: Ruditapes philippinarum (Manila clam)
Lineage: Eukaryota; Metazoa; Mollusca; Bivalvia; Venerida; Veneridae
Exons: 6
Source: RefSeq, a predicted model, not a curated record